Molecule: small RNA, 75 nt
Filed under: Polaromonas sp.
Lineage: Bacteria; Pseudomonadati; Pseudomonadota; Betaproteobacteria; Burkholderiales; Comamonadaceae
Description: sX9 sRNA
Rfam family: Xanthomonas sRNA sX9
Source: RNAcentral
ACGUACCCCAAGGUACGCUCCGGUUCCUGCGCUCCGUCCGCCUAGCCUGACACCUGCUCGCUACGCCGUCCGGAC